CAUCUCAGUACCCGGAGGAAAAGAAAUCAAAAGAGAUUCCCUGAGUAGUGGUGAGCGAAAGGGGAGUAGCCCAAACCUCGAAUUUUAUUCGGGGGGUUGUAGGACUACCAAGAAAGGUCAGGAUACUGUCUUAGAGGAAUAGGCUGGGAAGUCUAACCGUAGAGGGUGAAAGUCCCGUACUCGAAAAGGCGGAACUGACUGAGGUAGAUCCUGAGUACCAUGGGACCCGAGGAAUCCUGUGGGAAGCAGGGGGGACCACCCUCCAAGGCUAAAUAUCUGGUUACACCGAUAGCGGAUAGUACCGUGAGGGAAAGGUGAAAAGAACCCCGGGAGGGGAGUGAAAUAGAAUCUGAAAUCCUGUGCCUACAAGGGAGUGGGAGUCUCAACAUAGUUGGGAUGACCGCGUACCUAUUGACGAAUGGGCCAACGAGUUAACCGGUAGGGCAAGGCUAAGGCAGUGACAGCCGGAGUCGUAGGGAAACCGAGUCUGAAGAGGGCGGAUAAGUCUUACUGGUUAGACCCGAAGCCGGAUGAGCUAGCCAUGGGCAGGAUGAACCCUGCAGAGAUGCGGGGGGAGGUCCGAACGGGUAGGAGCUGCAAGUCCUUCCGAUGAACUGUGGUUAGGAGUGAAAAGCUCAUCGAAUUCGGUGAUAGCUGGUUCUCCCCGAAACCACUUUAGGGUGGGCCUGCUGGUAAAAACCGGAGGGGGUAGAGCACUGGUAAGGCUAGGGGUGUCGAGAGGCAUUACCAAACCUUGCUAAACUUCGAAUACCUCUGGGGAUCCAGUGGAGUCAGACUACGAGGGAUAAGCUUCGUGGUCGAGAGGGAAACAGCCCAGACUUCUAGCUAAGGUCUCUAAAUGAUGGCUAAGUGGAGAAGGAUGUGUACUUGCGAAGACAUCUAGGAGGUUUGCUCAGAAGCAGCAAUCCUUUAAAGAGUGCGUAAUAGCUCACUAGCCGAGCAGGUAUGCGCCGAAAAUGUAACGAGGCUUAAGUCAUCUACCGAAGCUGAAGGAUUCCGAUAUUGAAUCGGGAUUCAGUAGGGGAGUGUUCUAUAUGCGAUGAAGUCUCGACGUAAGUUGGGGUGGAGUGUAUAGAAGUAAAAAUGUUGGCAUGAGUAACGCCUGAGGGUUAAAAUCCCUCACGCCGGAAGCCUAAGGUUUCCUCAGCAACGUUCGACGACUGAGGGUUAGGCGGGACCUAAGGCUAAGCUGAAAGGUGAAGCUGAUGGAAAGCCGGUUAAUAUUCCGGCCCCUAAGCAACUAGGGAGGGCGUGACGCAUUGGGUUGUGUGUAUACUUCCUAUAAGGGAGUCUAACAAACGAGGCGACUCCGAUGAGUAGUCGGAGGGUAGGUAGCAGGGAAAACCACUACCUACAUAAAGCUGAGUUUGGAAAGGGAUCCUAACAAGAAGUUAGGAGAAUACAUAGAUCUGGUGCCAAGAAAAACGUCUACUGUUAAGGUUGCUUAGCCCGUACCGAGAACCGACACAGGUGGGCUGGUGUAGAACACCAAGGCGAGCGGGAAAACUAGGGAUAAGGAACUCGGCAAAUUAGCGGGUGUAACUUCGGGAUAAGCCCUGCCCGGCAAAAGUCGGGUCGCAGCGAAAGAAGCGGGGGGGACUGUUUAUCAAAAACACAGCUCUCUGCGAACUCCAAAAGAGGAGGUAUAGAGGGUGAUGCCUGUCCGGUGCCAGAAUGUUAAGCACUGUGGUGAAAGCUAUGGUGUGAAGCACUGGUGAACGACGGCCGUAACUAUGACGGUCCUAAGGUAGCGAAGUACCUUGUCGGGUAAGUUCCGACGCGCAUGAACGGCAUAACCACCUCCGCACUGUCUCAUCCCUAGUCCCGGUGAAAUUACAAUCUCGGUAAAAAUGCCGAGUGGGAACGGUUAGACGGAAAGACCCUGUGAAGCUUUACUGUAGGUUGGUAUUGGGUCGAGGUGUAUUAUGUGCAGGAUAGGUGGGAGGCUAUGAGAUUCCAACGCAAGUUGGGGUGGAGCCAUCGGUGAGAUACCACCCAUAAUACAUUUUGACUCUAAUCCCGAAGGAUCGGGAGACAGUGCCUGCUGGGCAGUUUGCCUGGGGCGGGAGCCUCCUAAAGAGUAACGGAGGCGUACAAAGGUUGGCUUGUCACGGAUGGAAACCGUGAUAAAAGUGUAUUCGCAAAAGCCAGCUUGACUGUGAGACUGACAGGUCGAACAGGGUGGAAACACGGUGAAAGUGAUCCGGAUUUUCCGAGUGGAAGGGGAUCCGCUCAACGGAUAAAAGCUACUCCGGGGAUAACAGGCUAAUGGGAUCCAAGAGUUCACAUCGACGAUCCCGUUUGGCACCUCGAUGUCGGCUCGUCGCAUCCUGGGGCUGUAGUAGGUUCCAAGGGUUGGGCUGUUCGCCCAUUAAAGCGGGACGCGAGCUGGGUUCAGAACGUCGUGAGACAGUUCGGCCCCUAUCUACCGUUUCCGUAUGCAACUUGAGGGGAUGUGCUCCUAGUACGAGAGGACCGGGGCGCACUGGCCGCUGGUGAACCAGUUGUUUUAUGAGAGCAUAGCUGGGUAGCUAAGCCGGGAAAGGAUAAGAGCUGAAAGCAUCUAAGCUCGAAGCCAACCCCAAGAUAAGGUUGCACAAUCGGUACCUUGGAGACUACAAGGUUAAUAGGCUGGUGGUGUAAGCAUGGUAACAUGUGUAGCUAACCAGUACUAACGAUACCGAAAGAGGCUUUA
RNAcentral lists this ribosomal RNA (2716 nucleotides) under metagenome. RNAcentral's name for it is "bacterial LSU rRNA". It matches the Rfam family "Bacterial large subunit ribosomal RNA". The record is from RNAcentral.